UUAAGCGACUAAGCGUACACGGUGGAUGCCUAGGCAGUCAGAGGCGAUGAAGGGCGUGCUAAUCUGCGAAAAGCGUCGGUAAGCUGAUAUGAAGCGUUAUAACCGACGAUACCCGAAUGGGGAAACCCAGUGCAAUACGUUGCACUAUCGUUAGAUGAAUACAUAGUCUAACGAGGCGAACCGGGGGAACUGAAACAUCUAAGUACCCCGAGGAAAAGAAAUCAACCGAGAUUCCCCCAGUAGCGGCGAGCGAACGGGGAGGAGCCCAGAGUCUGAAUCAGUUUGUGUGUUAGUGGAAGCGUCUGGAAAGUCGCACGGUACAGGGUGAUAGUCCCGUACACCAAAAUGCACAGGCUGUGAACUCGAUGAGUAGGGCGGGACACGUGACAUCCUGUCUGAAUAUGGGGGGACCAUCCUCCAAGGCUAAAUACUCCUGACUGACCGAUAGUGAACCAGUACCGUGAGGGAAAGGCGAAAAGAACCCCGGCGAGGGGAGUGAAAUAGAACCUGAAACCGUGUACGUACAAGCAGUGGGAGCACCUUCGUGGUGUGACUGCGUACCUUUUGUAUAAUGGGUCAGCGACUUAUAUUUUGUAGCAAGGUUAACCGAAUAGGGGAGCCGUAGGGAAACCGAGUCUUAACUGGGCGUCUAGUUGCAAGGUAUAGACCCGAAACCCGGUGAUCUAGCCAUGGGCAGGUUGAAGGUUGGGUAACACUAACUGGAGGACCGAACCGACUAAUGUUGAAAAAUUAGCGGAUGACUUGUGGCUGGGGGUGAAAGGCCAAUCAAACCGGGAGAUAGCUGGUUCUCCCCGAAAGCUAUUUAGGUAGCGCCUCGUGAACUCAUCUUCGGGGGUAGAGCACUGUUUCGGCUAGGGGGCCAUCCCGGCUUACCAAACCGAUGCAAACUCCGAAUACCGAAGAAUGUUAUCACGGGAGACACACGGCGGGUGCUAACGUCCGUCGUGAAGAGGGAAACAACCCAGACCGCCAGCUAAGGUCCCAAAGUCAUGGUUAAGUGGGAAACGAUGUGGGAAGGCACAGACAGCCAGGAUGUUGGCUUAGAAGCAGCCAUCAUUUAAAGAAAGCGUAAUAGCUCACUGGUCGAGUCGGCCUGCGCGGAAGAUGUAACGGGGGCUAAACCAUGCACCGAAGCUGCGGCAGCGACACUUAGGUGUUGUUGGGUAGGGGAGCGUUCUGUAAGCCGUUGAAGGUGACCUGUGAGGGUUGCUGGAGGUAUCAGAAGUGCGAAUGCUGACAUAAGUAACGAUAAUGCGGGUGAAAAACCCGCACGCCGGAAGACCAAGGGUUCCUGUCCAACGUUAAUCGGGGCAGGGUGAGUCGACCCCUAAGGCGAGGCUGAAAAGCGUAGUCGAUGGGAAACAGGUUAAUAUUCCUGUACUUGGUGUUACUGCGAAGGGGGGACGGAGAAGGCUAGGCUGGCCGGGCGACGGUUGUCCCGGUUUAAGCGUGUAGGGGGAGUGACCAGGUAAAUCCGGUUGCUUAUCAACCCUGAGGCGUGAUGACGAUGCACCACGGUGCAGAAGCAGUUGAUGCCAUGCUUCCAGGAAAAGCCUCUAAGCAUCAGGUAACAUUAAAUCGUACCCCAAACCGACACAGGUGGUCAGGUAGAGAAUACUCAGGCGCUUGAGAGAACUCGGGUGAAGGAACUAGGCAAAAUGGUGCCGUAACUUCGGGAGAAGGCACGCUGGCGUUAGGUGAAAGGACUAGCUCCUGGAGCUGAAGCCAGUCGCAGAUACCAGCUGGCUGCAACUGUUUAAUAAAAACACAGCACUGUGCAAACACGAAAGUGGACGUAUACGGUGUGACGCCUGCCCGGUGCUGGAAGGUUAAUUGAUGGGGUCAGCCGCAAGGCGAAGCUCUUGAUCGAAGCCCCAGUAAACGGCGGCCGUAACUAUAACGGUCCUAAGGUAGCGAAAUUCCUUGUCGGGUAAGUUCCGACCUGCACGAAUGGCGUAAUGAUGGCCAGGCUGUCUCCACCCGAGACUCAGUGAAAUUGAACUCGCUGUGAAGAUGCAGUGUACCCGCGGCAAGACGGAAAGACCCCGUGAACCUUUACUAUAGCUUGACACUGAACAUUGAGCCUUGAUGUGUAGGAUAGGUGGGAGGCCUUGAAGUGUGGACGCCAGUCUGCAUGGAGCCAACCUUGAAAUACCACCCUUUAAUGUUUGAUGUUCUAACUCGGCCCCAUGAUCUGGGGUGAGGACAGUGUCUGGUGGGUAGUUUGACUGGGGCGGUCUCCUCCCAAAGAGUAACGGAGGAGCACGAAGGUUAGCUAAUCACGGUCGGACAUCGUGAGGUUAGUGCAAAGGCAUAAGCUAGCUUGACUGCGAGAGUGACGGCUCGAGCAGGUACGAAAGUAGGUCUUAGUGAUCCGGUGGUUCUGAAUGGAAGGGCCAUCGCUCAACGGAUAAAAGGUACUCCGGGGAUAACAGGCUGAUACCGCCCAAGAGUUCAUAUCGACGGCGGUGUUUGGCACCUCGAUGUCGGCUCAUCACAUCCUGGGGCUGAAGUAGGUCCCAAGGGUAUGGCUGUUCGCCAUUUAAAGUGGUACGCGAGCUGGGUUUAGAACGUCGUGAGACAGUUCGGUCCCUAUCUGCCGUGGGCGUUGGAAGAUUGAGAGGGGGCUGCUCCUAGUACGAGAGGACCGGAGUGGACGAAUCACUGGUGUUCGGGUUGUCAUGCCAAUGGCAUUGCCCGGUAGCUAAAUUCGGAAGAGAUAACCGCUGAAAGCAUCUAAGCGGGAAACUUGCCUCGAGAUGAGUCUUCCCUGGGGCUUAAAGCCCCCUGAAGGAACGUUAAAGACUAUGACGUUGAUAGGCUGGGUGUGUAAGUGCAGCGAUGUAUUGAGCUAACCAGUACUAAUGAUCCGUGAGGCUUAACCUU
RNAcentral lists this ribosomal RNA (2907 nucleotides) under Yersinia pestis 1670. RNAcentral describes it as "bacterial LSU rRNA". It matches the Rfam family "Bacterial large subunit ribosomal RNA". Lineage: Bacteria; Pseudomonadati; Pseudomonadota; Gammaproteobacteria; Enterobacterales; Yersiniaceae. The record is from RNAcentral.